ACGAACGCUGGCGGCGUGCUUAACACAUGCAAGUCGUACGGUAAGGCCCUUUCGGGGGUACACGAGUGGCGAACGGGUGAGUAACACGUGAGUAACCUGCCCACAACUUUGGGAUAACGCUAGGAAACUGGUGCUAAUACUGGAUAUGUGCCCCUGCUGCAUGGUGGGGGUUGGAAAGCUCCGGCGGUUGUGGAUGGACUCGCGGCCUAUCAGCUUGUUGGUGGGGUAGUGGCCUACCAAGGCGGCGACGGGUAGCCGGCCUGAGAGGGUGACCGGCCACAUUGGGACUGAGAUACGGCCCAGACUCCUACGGGAGGCAGCAGUGGGGAAUAUUGCACAAUGGGCGCAAGCCUGAUGCAGCAACGCCGCGUGCGGGAUGACGGCCUUCGGGUUGUAAACCGCUUUCAGCAGGGACGAAGCUUUUUGUGACGGUACCUGCAGAAGAAGCACCGGCUAACUACGUG
This 464-nucleotide ribosomal RNA is filed under the name uncultured bacterium. RNAcentral's name for it is "partial 16S ribosomal RNA". It matches the Rfam family "Bacterial small subunit ribosomal RNA", at positions 29 to 507 of the family's 1533-position model. The record is from RNAcentral.